This 217-nucleotide long non-coding RNA is filed under the name Lathyrus oleraceus (garden pea). Its description in RNAcentral is "Pisum sativum (pea) long non-coding RNA (PSAT_LNC012629)". The record is from RNAcentral. Lineage: Eukaryota; Viridiplantae; Streptophyta; Magnoliopsida; Fabales; Fabaceae.
AGAGCUCUCUGUCUGAUUAAUCGUCUUCCGUUAAUGAACUUUGACCUAAUUUGCCACACAUUUUCAUAAACAAACUUUUGGAUGAAAAGAGAGUGAUUGGGCUUAGGCCUCUUCCUUUUCGAGCAUCUGAGUACUGCAGUAGAGCUCCCUGCUUAGAUGCUUGUCUCCGCUUAAAAUCAACUCAAACUCAUCAAACUUGUUUUCCGCCCUUGUGCGA